Long non-coding RNA from Salvelinus fontinalis (brook trout), 455 nucleotides. RefSeq lists it as uncharacterized. The transcript has 2 exons. Lineage: Eukaryota; Metazoa; Chordata; Actinopteri; Salmoniformes; Salmonidae. The record is from RefSeq and is a predicted model, not a curated record.
UAUACACUUAUUAUAAUGCACUAUGUAGCCUACAGGUGUACAUGUAGUGACAGGCAUGGAUCUACACUCACUUCCUGUAGGCCCUAUUCCAAUGAGGCACUGGUGAUUCAUCAAUAGAUCUGAAUUAAAGGGCAAGAUCAGGAACGUUAUGUGAAACAUGUAGACUCUGAUCUGGUUCUGGAGAUGAAUACGAAAAGCGGUGGAAAUUCCGCUUUAAUCUGACGUGGGGAUAUCUCUGCUUUCUAGAUGCAGACGUCGGAUCACCAGCUACUUGAACGAACAGCGACCUUGUAACCUACGGAUGCCGGUGGGCCGGGAGGGUCGUCAGCGACAUGGGAAACACCUGGGCCCGGGUGUGUCCCAGGAUAGACCUCUUCCAUAUUCAUUGAGAGACUCUCUCCAUGCAGACACACUAUUGUUUACCUUAGUUAAUAAAUAUUUUUUGUUAUUCCUUA